This 400-nucleotide ribosomal RNA is filed under the name uncultured bacterium. Its description in RNAcentral is "bacterial SSU rRNA". It matches the Rfam family "Bacterial small subunit ribosomal RNA", at positions 358 to 773 of the family's 1533-position model. The record is from RNAcentral.
GGAAUAUUGGACAAUGGGGGUAACCCUGAUCCAGCAAUGCCGCGUGAGUGAUGAAGGCCCUCGGGUCGUAAAGCUCUUUCAGCAGGGAGGAAGAUCUGACUGUACCUGCAGAAGAAGCACCGGCUAACUCCGUGCCAGCAGCCGCGGUAAUACGGAGGGUGCAAGCGUUGUUCGGAAUCAUUGGGGGUAAAGCGCGUGUGGGCGGGCAACUAAGUCUGAUGUGAAAGCCCGGGGCUUAACUCCGGAAGUGGAUUGGAUACUGGUAGGCUAGAGGACGAGAGAGGGAAGUGGAAUUCCUGGUGUAGGGGUGAAAUCCGUAGAUAUCAGGAGGAACAUCAGUGGCGAAGGCGGCUUACUGGCUCGUAUCUGACGCUGAGACGCGAAAGCGUGGGGAGCAAAC